Molecule: ribosomal RNA, 465 nt
Filed under: uncultured bacterium
Lineage: Bacteria
Description: partial 16S ribosomal RNA
Rfam family: Bacterial small subunit ribosomal RNA
Source: RNAcentral
CCUACGGGGGGCAGCAGUGAGGAAUAUUGGUCAAUGGGCGAAAGCCUGACGCAGCGACGCCGCGUGAGGGAUGAAGGUCUUCGGAUCGUAAACCUCCGUCAGCAGGGAAGAACGGUCACUGUGCUAAUCAGCAGUGAAUUGACGGUACCUGCAAAGGAAGCACCGGCUAACUCCGUGCCAGCAGCCGCGGUAAUACGGAGGGUGCGAGCGUUAAUUGGAAUUACUGGGCGUAAAGCGCUCGUAGGCGGUAUGUCAAGUCAAGGGUGAAUUCCCCGCGCUCAACGUGGGAACUGCCUUUGAAACUGGCAGACUGGAGUGUGUGAGAGGAUAGUGGAAUUCCAGGUGUAGGAGUGAAAUCCGUAGAUAUCUGGAGGAACAUCAGUGGCGAAGGCGACUAUCUGGCACAUAACUGACGCUGAGGAGCGAAAGCGUGGGUAGCAAACAGGAUUAGAUACCCCAGUAGUC